This 297-nucleotide ribosomal RNA is filed under the name Triticum aestivum (bread wheat). RNAcentral describes it as "partial small subunit ribosomal RNA". It matches the Rfam family "Eukaryotic large subunit ribosomal RNA", at positions 1890 to 2184 of the family's 3401-position model. The record is from RNAcentral. Lineage: Eukaryota; Viridiplantae; Streptophyta; Magnoliopsida; Poales; Poaceae.
AUGGAACAAUGUAGGCAAGGGAAGUCGGCAAAACGGAUCCGUAACUUCGGGAAAAGGAUUGGCUCUGAGGACUGGGCUCGGGGGUCCCGGCCCCGAACCCGUCGGCUGUCGGCGGAUUCCUCGAGCUGCUCACGCGGCGAGAGCGGGUCGCCGCGUGCCGGCCGGGGGACGGACCGGGAAUCGCCCCUUCGGGGGCUUUCCCCGAGCAUGAAACAGUCGACUCAGAACUGGUACGGACAAGGGGAAUCCGACUGUUUAAUUAAAACAAAGCAUUGCGAUGGUCCUCGCGGAUGCUGA